This 294-nucleotide signal recognition particle RNA is filed under the name Aotus nancymaae (Ma's night monkey). RNAcentral describes it as "Metazoan signal recognition particle RNA (ENSANAG00000000161.1)". It matches the Rfam family "Metazoan signal recognition particle RNA". From Rfam's summary of the family: The signal recognition particle (SRP) is a universally conserved ribonucleoprotein. It is involved in the co-translational targeting of proteins to membranes. The eukaryotic SRP consists of a 300-nucleotide 7S RNA and six proteins: SRPs 72, 68, 54, 19, 14, and 9. Lineage: Eukaryota; Metazoa; Chordata; Mammalia; Primates; Aotidae. The record is from RNAcentral.
GCCAGGCACGGUAGUGCCUGCCUGUAGUCCCAGCUGCUCCACAGGCUGAGGCUGGAGGAUCACUUGAGUCCAAGAGUUCUGGACUAUAGUGCGCUAUGCCGAUCGGGUGUCCGCACUAAGUUCGGCAUCAAUACGGUGACCUGGGAGCGGGGGACCACCAGGUUGCCUAAGGAGGGGUGAACUGGCCCAGAUCGGAAAUGGAACAGGUCAAAACUCUCAUGCUGAUCAGUAGUGGGAUCGCGCCUGUGAAUAGCCGCUGCACUCUAGUCUGAGCAACAUAGUGAGACCGUCUCU